CGGAUGUGAUGUGAAGUCCCGCCUGACUUGCUGUGGAGGCCAAAAACUGAUUUAAUGAGGCUGAUCC
Meleagris gallopavo (turkey) is the source of this 67-nucleotide small nucleolar RNA. NCBI's taxonomy places the organism in Eukaryota, Metazoa, Chordata, Aves, Galliformes, Phasianidae. The record is from Ensembl.